Molecule: ribosomal RNA, 434 nt
Filed under: uncultured archaeon
Lineage: Archaea
Description: bacterial SSU rRNA
Rfam family: Archaeal small subunit ribosomal RNA
Source: RNAcentral
GGACCUGACUGCUAUCGGAUUGAUACUAAGCCAUGCGAGUCAUUGUAGUAAUACAAGGCAGACGGCUCAGUAACGCGUAGUCAACCUACCCUAUGGACGGGAAUAACCUCGGGAAACUGAGAAUAAUGCCCGAUAGAACAUUAUACCUGGAAUGGUUUAUGUUCCAAAUGAUUUAUCGCCGUAGGAUGGGACUGCGGCCUAUCAGUUUGUUGGUGAGGUAAUGGCCCACCAAGACUAUUACAGGUACGGGCUCUGAGAGGAGUGGCCCGGAGAUGGGUACUGAGACACGGACCCAGGCCCUAUGGGGCGCAGCAGGCGAGAAAACUUUGCAAUGUGCGAAAGCACGACAAGGUUAAUCCGAGUGGUUUCUGCUAAAGAGACCUUUUGUCGGUCCUAGAAACACCGAUGAAUAAGGGGUGGGCAAGUUCUGGUGU